UGGUUCUGGCAUCGAUGAAGAACGCAGCGAAAUGCGAUAAGUAAUGUGAAUUGCAGAAUUCAGUGAAUCAUCGAAUCUUUGAACGCACAUUGCGCCCGCUAGUAUUCUAGCAGGCAUGCCUGUUCGAGCGUCAUUUCAACCCUCAAGCUCUGCUUGGUGUUGGGGACCCGCCGACCUCUUCGGAGAGGCGUUCCCCCAAAGAUAGUGGCGGACCCGCUGGUGUCUUUCCCCUUGCGUAGUAGUUUCUCUAACGAGCCUCGCACUGGGACCCGGUGGUGUUCUAGCCGUUAAACCCCUAUAUUUCAAUGGUUGACCUCGGAUCAGGUAGGAAUACCCGCUGA
Molecule: unclassified non-coding RNA, 341 nt
Filed under: uncultured fungus
Lineage: Eukaryota; Fungi
Description: partial contains 5.8S ribosomal RNA and internal transcribed spacer 2
Rfam family: 5.8S ribosomal RNA (bases 1-133)
Source: RNAcentral